CUAAAGGUACAUUUUUCAAGAUGUUUCCUGUUAUUAAGCAAUAUAUGACAGUAAUUAAAUUGCCCAACUAUUUGUUUUUCUCUCAUAAAUUAGAAUGUUAAACAUAAAUUCAAUAAUUUAGCAAACUGUCCUAUAUUCAACCACCAAUUUUCUAUCUUUCCAUGCAUUUGCUUUUACAUACACUCAUCCAUACAUAUGUAGUUCAUACGAUAUAUAUAAAUAUACCCCCCACACAUACAUAUGAAUUAUAAACAUGUACAUUUUUAUUUUAUGUACAUGUCAUGGUGAUACAUUAGUUUAGUUUUCUAAGACUGCUGUAAUGGAGAAAAGCAAACUGGUGGUUUACCUAACAGAACUGCAUUGUGUCACCAGCAAAAAAUCCUAAAUCAAGGUGCCAGUAGUGUUGUGUCUUUUUGAGAUCUGUGAGAAAGCAUCUGUUCCAUGCCUCUUGUCUCCACUGUGGUGGUUAUCUGGCCAUCUUUGAGAGUCCCUGGCUUGUAGAGGCAUCAUCCCAAGCCUUCUUUUUCAAGGCUUUCAAACUAAGUGUCUCAAAAUUUCCUCUUUUUAUAAGUACAACACUUACUUUGGAUUACAGCCCACUCUAAUGAUCUCAUUUAGAAGUAUUUACUGCUAUAAAAACCCUAUCUGCAAAUAAGUCACAUUUUUGAAGUACUAGAGGUUAGAACUUCAACAUAAGAAUUCAAGGAAGCGGGGGCUGGGGUUGUGGCUCAGUGGUACAGUGCUCAUCUAGCAUGCAUGAGGCACUGGGUUCGAUCCUCAGCACCACAUAAAAAUAAAGUAUUGUGUUCACCUAAAACUAAAAAAAGGUAAAUAUUAAAAAAAAUAAAUAAAGCAUUCAAGGAAGCAGAAUUUGACCAACUAAGACAUAUUAAAAAUUUUCAUUAUUUUAAACUUUUGAAUAAUCUUAGAUUCAAGAAAUUAGCUAGUGGUAAAGACUAAUUGAAUAUGCAGGCUUAAGAUUUUUAAAUGACUCAAAUUUCAAUCUAGGAGAAGUAAGCAUUGAAUAUGAUAAUAAAAUUUUGAUUAAUUUUCUACUUAUUUUGUGAUUGAUAAAUUAAACAACAAUAUUGGCUAUUAUAUUUUUAUUUGCAUGUUAAUUCUAUAAAAGUUUUGCAAAUGCCAUUAAUUGUUCUGCAUGAGUGUAUUAUGAAAUAAGUGAAUGCAGUUAAUGUUCUCAUUAAUAAUAUUUGUUUAAUUUAAAUAUAUUUAGAAAGAUGACAUAGCACAUGAUAAAAUGCUAAUGACAUUUUACAAGUUUUAAAUGAAGUAAGUUUAAAAAUAAUUUGGAGAAUAUGAUUCUGAAAUAAAGGGUUUUUGUUUGUUUGUUUGUUUAUUACAGGAUAAAAUUCAAUACUAUUUAGGUGAUUAUUUUUGCAUAAUAUCACAUUCAUUUGUAAAAUAUCGAUGUGUUUACUGAUUUCCAGUAGAUAAUUUAGUAAAUUAUCCUUUGACAUAACUUAGAGUCACUUUUUUCUUCUUCUUCUUUUAAUAUAUAGCAUGACAUAAAAGAUGAGGAAAUGGCUAUGACCCAGGCUUUCCCCUUUAAUUUCAGUAAGAUUUCUGGCCAACAUCACAGCCAAGAGAAGACUCUACAGCAUAGCAUGCUUUCCAUUCCAGAACAGUUUCUGGUUCUAAUACUCUAAAUUUCCUAAUUUCAUCCACAUGGUUUCCUCUAUAAUAUAAAGUCAAAUUAAGAGUGGAAGACUGAUCUGAAAUCCAUUUAUUUGCUCACAGGCUGUACAGUUUGCCAAACAUUCCACACAGUAAUUCAAAAGUUUCAGAUCGAUGCUGGGGUAUUGCAUAUCUCCUCAUCCCUUGUUUAUAUGACUGUAUUCUAAAGAACAGCCUGAACUGAGAUCAGAAAUUAGCAGAGUGUCUGGAAAAAGGAAUGAGCAGGCCCAAGAUAAACAGAUGUACGAUUGCAAGAAUACUACAAACAAACAGACAUUGUGGGCACUACAAUCAAUUCCUCAAGGCUCUUCAUUUCUACCACACUAAUUAAACUAACAGAGAACCCCAUUUUGGAUUCUUCAUGAGAGACUUUUCAUUUGCAUAAGAUUGGAUAAUACCAUGUCAUACCUGUCAAUUAACUACUCAAUAAAUGAGCUUUGAAAUGA
This 2138-nucleotide long non-coding RNA is filed under the name Marmota monax (woodchuck). The record is from RNAcentral. Lineage: Eukaryota; Metazoa; Chordata; Mammalia; Rodentia; Sciuridae.